GACGAACCGUGCGAACGUUAUUCGGAAUCAUUGGGCGUAAAGAGCUCGUAGGCGGUCUGUUGCGUCCGCUGUGAAAACUCGGGGCUUAACCCCGAGCCUGCAGUGGAUACGGGCAGACUAGAGGUAGGUAGGGGAGAAUGGAAUUCCCGGUGUAGCGGUGAAAUGCGCAGAUAUCGGGAGGAACACCGGUGGCGAAGGCGGUUCUCUGGGCCUUACCUGACGCUGAGGAGCGAAAGCGUGGGGAGCGAACAGG
This 253-nucleotide ribosomal RNA is filed under the name uncultured bacterium. Its description in RNAcentral is "partial 16S ribosomal RNA". It matches the Rfam family "Bacterial small subunit ribosomal RNA", at positions 524 to 776 of the family's 1533-position model. The record is from RNAcentral.